CCUACGGGAGGCAGCAGUGAGGAAUAUUGGUCAAUGGACGAGAGUCUGAACCAGCCAAGUAGCGUGAAGGAUGACUGCCCUAUGGGUUGUAAACUUCUUUUAUAAAGGAAUAAAACGAGGCACGUGUGCCUUUUUGCAUGUACUUUAUGAAUAAGGAUCGGCUAACUCCGUGCCAGCAGCCGCGGUAAUACGGAGGAUCCGAGCGUUAUCCGGAUUUAUUGGGUUUAAAGGGAGCGUAGAUGGGUUGUUAAGUCAGUUGUGAAAGUUUGCGGCUCAACCGUAAAAUUGCAAUUGAUACUGGCAGUCUUGAGGACAGUUGAGGUAGGCGGAAUUCGUGGUGUAGCGGUGAAAGGCUUAGAUAUCACGAAGAACCCCGAUUGCGAAGGCAGCUUACUAAACUGUGACUGACAUUGAUGCUCGAAAGUGUGGGUAUCAAACAGGAUUAGAUACCCGGGUAGUC
RNAcentral lists this ribosomal RNA (460 nucleotides) under uncultured bacterium. Its description in RNAcentral is "partial 16S ribosomal RNA". It matches the Rfam family "Bacterial small subunit ribosomal RNA", at positions 338 to 795 of the family's 1533-position model. The record is from RNAcentral.